RNAcentral lists this long non-coding RNA (2010 nucleotides) under Mus musculus (house mouse). RNAcentral describes it as "RIKEN cDNA 9430021M05 gene". The record is from RNAcentral. Lineage: Eukaryota; Metazoa; Chordata; Mammalia; Rodentia; Muridae.
GCCUGGCACACGCCCGCGGCUGCCACUCGCGGGCUCCCCCACGCACCCUCUCCCGGGCUGGCCGGCUCGGGGCCGCUCGCGCACUCAAGCGCGUACACACAUCGCUCUUGCACACACAGGAUCUGCGGGGUAUUCGCCUCUUCGCCCCGCGCCACACCACCCAGCUGAGCAUCGCUUUCAGGCUACCCUGCGGGGGCGCAGGCCAGAUCUCCUAGACACCUGGAUGGCAGCUUAGCAUAAAGAGCCAGCUGCCUUCUCGUAGAGCCAAAACAUCAGUGUGUGGUCCAGACCGUUGGCAAGUAGACCUGGGCAUCCUGAAUCUACAGCUCGGACCGCAUCUCUGCAUCUUGCCCAAGGGGAGUCUAUGAAGCAGUUGCCUUUCUUAAUUAAAAGGGAAACGAAGAGAUGAGCCUGGAGGCUCGCCACUCACAUUCGCCUGGACACUGCUGGACAAUGGAGCAUGUCCCCACCCACAGGAGAUGUCCCAUCAGCCUCGGCUCCGGAAUAAGAAAGACGUUGUGGGCUUCCUGCCAAUCCCAAGUAGCCAUGUCGUGAGAUCCGAUACGUAAACCUUUGUGUGUUAAGCCACAGCAAUUUGGGAGUCCUUUGUUACUGCAGCGUAACCUGGAUUAUCCUGACUGGUUCUAUGAGAAAGAUACUCAAAACAGUGACUCUAGUGAGCUGUAUACCAAGGCAUCUGCCAAUCAAAGCAGCCCUACACACUCAUGCCAAACAGCCAUAUAUUAGUGGAAGCCAGAGGAAGAAAUUACAUAUUGCUUGUUAUUCCCGGUGUCAUCGAUGGCUAAGUCACCAUCCCCUAUCUUCCUCACAACAGUGUUUCUUCCCAGCUUGAUAAUGAUAGCUGUAGUUAAAAACUACCAUUCAUUGAUCAUUUGUCAUAUGUCGCACACCAUAUAAAGUAUUUACAAGUCUACGUGAGAGUCAUUCUUAGCCUCAGAUUUCAGACGUGAAAACCAAAACCCAAAGCACCAAUCUUAACAUUGCCUAAAGCCACAUAGCAUCCUAUUCCAGAGCAAAUGUUCGUAACUACUCUCCUUCAGACCAUCCCACAAACAUCUUCCCCAAAAGACAAUCUGCCUCCACUGGGUCACACUGGCUCCAUUCUUUUCUCAGAUACCAUGGUCAGCCCUGCCCUUGGUCACAAUGGAUUUAAGAGGCCUUGGUUGAAGGAUACUGUGACAGCUAUUAGAUCAAUCUGAUCAAUGGCCCCAUGAAAGAGCUGAAUAUCUAAACACUGUUUUCUGGGCCCUUUUUGGUCUUACUCUUAGCUAGUUUCUCAGCCUAUAAAUAGGACCCUGUCUCACUUUAGUGCAAUGGCUCUCAACCUUCUUAAUGCUGCAACUCCUUAGUAUAGUUUCUCAUGCUGUGGUGACCCCCAACCAUAAAUUAAUGUCACUGCUACUUCACAAUUAUAACUUUGCUACUGUUCUGAACCGUAAUGUAAAUAUUUUUGGAGAUAGAGGUUUGCCAGAGGGGUCAUGACCCUAGGUUGAGAACCUCUACUCUAGUGCCUGAGUUCCUGCUUCAGUGCUAGCUAAUGCUGGGCUUCAUCCUGUAGUAGACUUCUGGGUCUGACUUACCACCUCCACUCCAGCUGUUGCUACUUCAGCCCCUACCACAGCCAACCAGAUUUACCUCUGAUGGAUUUCCUGUGAACCUGGUAGUGUUUCAUCAACUUGCUACAAGCUAGAGUCAUUUCAGAAGAGGGAAGCUCAACUGAGUAAAUGCCACCAGCCGAUUGGACUGUGAACUGGAGCCUUUAAUUGGUUUAUGAUUGAAGUAGGAGAGCCAGAUCACUGUGGGUGGUACCGCCCCUGGGCUGGUGGUCCUGGGUUACAUAAGAAAACAGUCUGAGCAAGCCAUAGGGAGCAAGAGCCUAAGCAGCCUUUCUCCAUGGCUUCUGCUUCAGUGCCUGCCUCCAGACUUUUGCUCUGACUUUCUUCAUUGUUGAACUAUGAUGUAAGCGAAAAUAAACCCUUUCCUCCCCCA